Molecule: non-coding RNA, 21 nt
Filed under: Caenorhabditis elegans
Lineage: Eukaryota; Metazoa; Nematoda; Chromadorea; Rhabditida; Rhabditidae
Source: RNAcentral
UAACAGCCUUCCCUUAAAACU